GGGAUAAAGGUGAACCGGGCUUGCCAGGCCUUGAUGGGCUGGAUGCCCCUUGCCCUGUGGGAGAUGAUGGUUUACCUGUACCAGGAUGUUGGAAUAAAGGUCAACAUCCUUUCCAGCUGGCUAAGAAGUAGCGUUCCAAAACAUCUCCUUGAAGCCACAGAGAGGAAACUUGAAGAUAUCUGAGACACCUUUGAGUUGAGACACCAACCUAGAGAUGGUAUUUCAGGAUUGUUCCAGAAGGCUGGACACAAGACCUGUACUGGGUCUUUGGUGAGCUGAAGACUGGAUCAUCAUCAUCAUAGCAAGUCA
Molecule: long non-coding RNA, 309 nt
Organism: Nematolebias whitei (Rio pearlfish)
Lineage: Eukaryota; Metazoa; Chordata; Actinopteri; Cyprinodontiformes; Rivulidae
Exons: 3
Source: RefSeq, a predicted model, not a curated record